Molecule: ribosomal RNA, 460 nt
Filed under: uncultured bacterium
Lineage: Bacteria
Description: SSU rRNA
Rfam family: Bacterial small subunit ribosomal RNA
Source: RNAcentral
AGCCUGAACGCUGGCGGCGUGGCUAAGACAUGCAAGUCGUACGGAUGUAGCAAUACAUCAGUGGCGAACGGGUGAGUAAUGAAUCGCUAAUGUACCCCGGACUCUGGGAUAGCUGCCCGAAAGGGCAGGUAAUACCAGAUGAUAUAUCCUUAUCGCAUGAUAGGGAUCUCAAAGGUCCGCCGGUCUGGGAGCAGGCGAUUUUGUAUCAGCUAGUUGGUGAGGUAACGGCUCACCAAGGCGAUGACGCAUAGCCGGACUGAGAGGUUGGCCGGCCACAUUGGGACUGAGACACUGCCCAGACUCCUACGGGAGGCAGCAGUAGGGAAUUUUCCACAAUGGCGAAAGCCUGAUGGAGCAACGCCGCGUGCAGGAUGAAUGUCUUCGGAUUGUAAACUGCUUUUAUAUGUGACGAUUAUGACGGUAGCAUAUGAAUAAGGAUCGGCUAACUCCGUGCCAGCAG